This 1073-nucleotide long non-coding RNA is filed under the name Piliocolobus tephrosceles (Ugandan red Colobus). RNAcentral's name for it is "lncRNA (ENSPTEG00000016880.1)". The record is from RNAcentral. Lineage: Eukaryota; Metazoa; Chordata; Mammalia; Primates; Cercopithecidae.
AAAAAAAAAAAAAAAAGAGGUAUAAAAUAACAAAUACCGCAUUAAUAGCAAACGAACGUAAUGUCAAACAAGAGUUAAAUAAAAACACAUAAAACAAGCCAUCAAACCAGCGCAUUCACUAGUAGUACUAUUCUACUUUAUGUACUCUCAAAACAAAGUUUUUUUUUUUCUUUUUUUUUUUUCUUCUUUUUCUCCCAUUUUACUUUUAUUAAAAAAAAUACAUGUAUUUUUAUACAUACAUACGUACAUAUAUGUAUUUAUGAACAUUAUAAAAAAAAAGCUUCAUUACUAUACCUUUUAUAAAAAAUGGUUACAUAGGAGUAACAGAGGUAGCAUACGCUAUGUGUCAAGUUCUAAAAACAUAGAACGUUUGUUAGAUGGAUUAAAAACACAAGGUGAUAACCUUAACGUGUUAAGUUUAGUUAUAAGUAAAAAUAAUUUGUGCUAUUGUUUACAACAAAAUAAAAUUAUAAAAAAAAUUGGACUAAUUAAUAUUAAAAAAAAUUCCAAUUCUUAUAAUUACGAAGAUAAUAAUUAUUAUAAUGAUGCUGGUGGUGGUGGUGAUGGUGAUGGUGAUGAAAAUAAUAAUACUAAUUUUAUGAAUUCCAAAAAAGGAAUAGAAAAAAAUAAAAGCCAAAGAGAACGAAACAUAAAAAAGAACAAACGCGAAAACGACACUUUGCAAUAUAGUUAUGACAAAUAUGAUAAUCCUUUAAAUUUUAACUUAAAAGAAAUAUUAACAAUUUUAAAAUUUGUAAAAAUGUAUUCAAAUAAAGAAGGAUAUAAUCAGAGUGUACAAAAAGAAGAACAAUUUUCUUUAAAAAUGAAUAAUACAUCAAAUGCAGUAGUAAACAAUAGGGACUCGUUAAAGGAUGUUAAAUUAGCUAGCUCCAAUAGCUCUCUGUCUUAUGAUAAAAGUUUAAGCAAAAAUAACCAGAAAGGUAAAAAAAUAAACAAUAUACUUAUUAAUAAGAAGAAAACAGUUGAAGAAGAAAAAGAAGAAGGGGAGGAAGAAGAAGAAGAGUAUGCCUUACAAAAUAACCAGGAUGAAACAAAAGAAAAUUGGAUUAUAG